AUUGAACGCUGGCGGCAUGCCUUACACAUGCAAGUCGAACGGCAGCGCGGACUUCGGUCUGGCGGCGAGUGGCGAACGGGUGAGUAAUACAUCGGAACGUACCCUGUUGUGGGGGAUAACUAGUCGAAAGAUUAGCUAAUACCGCAUACGACCUGAGGGUGAAAGUGGGGGAUCGCAAGGCCUCCCGCAGCAGGAGCGGCCGAUGUCUGAUUAGCUAGUUGGUGGGGUAAAGGCUCACCAAGGCGACGAUCAGUAGCUGGUCUGAGAGGACGAUCAGCCACACUGGAACUGAGACACGGCCCAGACUCCUACGGGAGGCAGCAGUGGGGAAUUUUGGACAAUGGGGGCAACCCUGAUCCAGCAAUGCCGCGUGUGUGAAGAAGGCCUUCGGGUUGUAAAGCACUUUUGUCCGGAAAGAAAUCGAGCUGGUUAAUACCUGGCGUGGAUGACGGUACCGGAAGAAUAAGCACCGGCUAACUACGUG
This 484-nucleotide ribosomal RNA is filed under the name uncultured bacterium. Its description in RNAcentral is "partial 16S ribosomal RNA". It matches the Rfam family "Bacterial small subunit ribosomal RNA", at positions 30 to 507 of the family's 1533-position model. The record is from RNAcentral.